CGAUACCGAGUAGCUUGCUAUUCGGGAAAGUGGCGCACGGGUGCGUAACGCGUAUGCAACCUACCUCAAUCAGGGGGAUAGCCCGAAGAAAUUCGGAUUAACACCGCAUAAAAUCACAGUAUAGCAUUAUACAAUGAUCAAAUAUUUAUAGGAUUGAGAUGGGCAUGCGUGUCAUUAGUUAGUUGGCGAGGUAACGGCUCACCAAGACCACGAUGACUAGGGGAUCUGAGAGGAUGACCCCCCACACUGGUACUGAGACACGGACCAGACUCCUACGGGAGGCAGCAGUAAGGAAUAUUGGUCAAUGGAGGCAACUCUGAACCAGCCAUGCCGCGUGCAGGAAGACAGCCCUCUGGGUCGUAAACUGCUUUUAUUCGGGAAUAAACCUACUUACGUGUAAGUAGCUGAAUGUACCGAAGGAAUAAGGAUCGGCUAACUCCGUGCCAGCAGCCGCGGUAAUACGGAGGAUCCAAGCGUUAUCCGGAUUUAUUGGGUUUAAAGGGUGCGUAGGCGGCUUAUUAAGUCAGGGGUGAAAGACGGUGGCUCAACCAUCGCAGUGCCCUUGAUACUGAUGAGCUUGAAUACACUAGAGGUAGGCGGAAUGUGACAAGUAGCGGUGAAAUGCAUAGAUAUGUCACAGAACACCGAUUGCGAAGGCAGCUUACUAUGGUGUCAUUGACGCUGAGGCACGAAAGCGUGGGGAUCAAACAGGAUUAGAUACCCUGGUAGUCCACGCCCUAAACGAUGAAUACUCGCUGUUAGCGAUACACAGUUAGCGGCUAAGCGAAAGCGUUAAGUAUUCCACCUGGGGAGUACGGUCGCAAGAUUGAAACUCAAAGGAAUUGACGGGGGCCCGCACAAGCGGAGGAGCAUGUGGUUUAAUUCGAUGAUACGCGAGGAACCUUACCCGGGCUUGAAAGUUAGUGAAUCAUUUAGAGAUAGAUGAGUGAGCAAUCACACGAAACUAGGUGCUGCAUGGCUGUCGUCAGCUCGUGCCGUGAGGUGUUGGGUUAAGUCCCGCAACGAGCGCAACCCCUAUGUUUAGUUGCCAGCACGUUAAGGUGGGGACUCUAAACAGACUGCCUGUGCAAACAGAGAGGAAGGAGGGGACGACGUCAAGUCAUCAUGGCCCUUACGUCCGGGGCUACACACGUGCUACAAUGGAUGGUACAGAGGGCAGCAAGCUGGCAACAGCAAGCAAAUCUCAAAAAGCCAUUCACAGUUCGGAUAGAGGUCUGCAACUCGACCUCUUGAAGUUGGAUUCGCUAGUAAUCGCGUAUCAGCAAUGACGCGGUGAAUACGUUCCCGGGCCUUGUACACACCGCCCGUCAAGCCAUGGAAGUUGGG
RNAcentral lists this ribosomal RNA (1347 nucleotides) under Pedobacter sp. RNAcentral describes it as "bacterial SSU rRNA". It matches the Rfam family "Bacterial small subunit ribosomal RNA", at positions 67 to 1415 of the family's 1533-position model. Lineage: Bacteria; Pseudomonadati; Bacteroidota; Sphingobacteriia; Sphingobacteriales; Sphingobacteriaceae. The record is from RNAcentral.